Molecule: ribosomal RNA, 338 nt
Filed under: uncultured bacterium
Lineage: Bacteria
Description: bacterial SSU rRNA
Rfam family: Bacterial small subunit ribosomal RNA
Source: RNAcentral
GAUGAACGCUAGCGGCAGGCCUAACACAUGCAAGUCGAGGGGUAGAGUUCUUCGGGACUUGAGACCGGCGCACGGGUGCGUAACGCGUAUGCAAUCUACCUUAUACAGGGGAAUAGCCCAGAGAAAUUUGGAUUAAUGCCCCAUAGUGUUAUCGAAUCGCAUGGUUUGAUAACUAAAGUUCCAACGGUAUAAGAUGAGCAUGCGUCCCAUUAGUUAGUUGGUAAGGUAACGGCUUACCAAGACAAUGAUGGGUAGGGGUCCUGAGAGGGAGAUCCCCCACACUGGUACUGAGACACGGACCAGACCUCCUACGGGAGGCAGCAGUGAGGAAUAUGGAC